RNAcentral lists this ribosomal RNA (497 nucleotides) under uncultured bacterium. Its description in RNAcentral is "partial 16S ribosomal RNA". It matches the Rfam family "Bacterial small subunit ribosomal RNA", at positions 28 to 507 of the family's 1533-position model. The record is from RNAcentral.
GACGAACGCUGGCGGCGUGCCUAAUACAUGCAAGUAGAACGCUGAAGGGAGGAGCUUGCUCUUUCUGGAUGAGUUGCGAACGGGUGAGUAACGCGUAGGUAACCUGCCUGGUAGCGGGGGAUAACUAUUGGAAACGAUAGCUAAUACCGCAUAAAAUUGAUUAUUGCAUGAUAGUCAAUUAAAAGGUGCAACUGCACCACUACCAGAUGGACCUGCGUUGUAUUAGCUAGUUGGUGGGGUAACGGCUCACCAAGGCGACGAUACAUAGCCGACCUGAGAGGGUGAUCGGCCACACUGGGACUGAGACACGGCCCAGACUCCUACGGGAGGCAGCAGUAGGGAAUCUUCGGCAAUGGACGGAAGUCUGACCGAGCAACGCCGCGUGAGAGAAGAAGGUUUUCGGAUCGUAAAGCUCUGUUGUAAGAGAAGAACGAGUGUGAGAGUGGAAAGUUCACACUGUGACGGUAUCUUACCAGAAAGGGACGGCUAACUACGUG